This 446-nucleotide ribosomal RNA is filed under the name uncultured bacterium. RNAcentral's name for it is "partial 16S ribosomal RNA". It matches the Rfam family "Bacterial small subunit ribosomal RNA", at positions 29 to 523 of the family's 1533-position model. The record is from RNAcentral.
AACGAACGCUGGCGGCAGGCCUACACAUGCAAGUCGAACGCCCCGCAAGGGGAGUGGCAGACGGGUGAGUAACGCGUGGGAACCUACCUUUCGGUGCGGAAUAACUUCGGGAAACCAAAGCUAAUACCGCAUACGCCCUACGGGGGAAAGAUUUAUCGCCGAUAGAUGGGCCCGCGUCGGAUUAGCUAGUUGGUGAGGUAAUGGCUCACCAAGGCUACGAUCCGUAGCUGGUCUGAGAGGAUGAUCAGCCACACUGGGACUGAGACACGGCCCAGACUCCUACGGGAGGCAGCAGUGGGGAAUAUUGGACAAUGGGCGCAAGCCUGAUCCAGCCAUGCCGCGUGAGUGAAGAAGGCCUUAGGGUUGUAAAGCUCUUUUAGUGGGGACGAUAAUGACGGUACCCACAGAAUAAGCCCCGGCUAACUUCGUGCCAGCAGCCGCCGUAA